UGUGUUCCUAGGUCGGAAGCAUCAAUCCCAGGGGAAGCCAACUGCAGAACAUUUUAUGCAUCGCUCAUCCUGUUAUGAGCCUGGUGCUGUUCCAUCUCUCUACAAGG
Molecule: non-coding RNA, 107 nt
Organism: Ochotona princeps (American pika)
Lineage: Eukaryota; Metazoa; Chordata; Mammalia; Lagomorpha; Ochotonidae
Source: Rfam